RNAcentral lists this small RNA (56 nucleotides) under Caenorhabditis elegans. Its description in RNAcentral is "Unclassified non-coding RNA ZK643.11". Lineage: Eukaryota; Metazoa; Nematoda; Chromadorea; Rhabditida; Rhabditidae. The record is from RNAcentral.
UCCACCUCCACAUCCACCUCCACACGGAGCAGGUGGUGGAGCACAUCCUCCGCCAC